Molecule: long non-coding RNA, 1209 nt
Organism: Gasterosteus aculeatus aculeatus (three-spined stickleback)
Lineage: Eukaryota; Metazoa; Chordata; Actinopteri; Perciformes; Gasterosteidae
Source: Ensembl
CCGAUGGAUGAAUGAAAAAUGUAUUAAAUUUGUCAGUAGGGAAUUUCAAAGAAUGAGUAGCUGUGGCCUUUUAAUGUUGAAUCCUGUCAUCUGAACAACAGUCUGGAUGUUGGUUUAAAGUGGCCCCUCUAAAUAUUAGACUGGGUUUGUGAGUGUAAUGGUGGAUCAUUUCCUACACACCUUUGGAAAAGUACCACGUUCCCUCUCCACCAGCACAGUGGCGUGUUGACAGGCUGUUGGUGCACCGUGGCGUCCGUGUGGCGGCUUUGGCCACGAUGUACACACACAAUGUAAACCAUGUCCCUGGAAGACUAGGUUGUCCCUCCACAAGCCGCUUGAUGUCCUGUACACUGUAUCCUGCACUAUAGUCCUUUACUGUAAAGAGAAGACAAAACAUGUGUUUUUUUCCCACGUCCUAUUUUGCACACAUGUAACAUCCCAUAAUACUGUAAAGUGUAUUUGUGAGCAACGGCAGUUGAAUCUCCUGUAAAAUGACCUUUAGUGUAAAUAAUAGGAGCUUUGUUUUUUACACUCCUCUGUGUUUUUGUGUGUGACUGACGUUUGUCAUUUAAUAUGCUGCUUUAACAUUUAGACCAGAGGUUCUCAAACUGUGGGGCGCGACCCUCUGGUGGGGCGCGAGGGGCUGGAGGAAAUGUACAAAAAAAGGUUCAAGUAUUAUUAUUAUUAUUAUUAAUCCCACGUGGGGAAGUGAUUGUGGUUUCACCCUCAGUGAGUAAGGAGCAGUGUGCCGCUGUGAAGCACUGGGCUUCAGUGCCUUGCUCAAGGACACUGAGACACAAACUGUGGAGAGAAGACGAUGGAGCCGCAUGUAAAACAUCACAGCCCUGUUUAGUUACGUCCACUUACUUCUUCUCUUUGACUCAAAGAACGCUGACAAGUUUUAGAUCUGAACUUCACUUUGUUCUGUUGUUAAGUCACAAAAUGUCGUUAUCUCAAUAAAAGUUCAGCAUGGACCCUUUUGUCACGUAUCUGUUGGGCCGGCGGGGCUCCAGGUCCAGAUCUUGGCCACACGAUUCAUUGUCUACAUCACUGAGAACAUUAGGAGGCUGCUGCCACUGACACACGAGGUUUAAUAUUAAAGGAGAUUUUAUUUAUUUUCACAAAGUAAAGUAAAGUGGUUUGGCAGCGAGGACUGUUACAUAUUCACUACACCUGCUCACAGACGUGAUGGAUCCUCACGUCACGCGG